Molecule: ribosomal RNA, 447 nt
Filed under: uncultured bacterium
Lineage: Bacteria
Description: bacterial SSU rRNA
Rfam family: Bacterial small subunit ribosomal RNA
Source: RNAcentral
UAAGGAAUAUUGGUCAAUGGAGGCAACUCUGAACCAGCCAUGCCGCGUGAGUGACGAAGGCCUUAGGGUUGUAAAGCUCUUUUGGCGGGGAAGAUAAUGACGGUACCCGCAGAAUAAGCUCCGGCUAACUUCGUGCCAGCAGCCGCGGUAAUACGAAGGGAGCUAGCGUUGUUCGGAAUCACUGGGCGUAAAGCGCACGUAGGUGGGCAGUUAAGUCAGGGGUGAAAGCCCGAGGCUCAACCUCGGAAUUGCCUCUGAUACUGGCUGUCUAGAGUUCGAGAGAGGUGAGUGGAAUUCCUAGUGUAGAGGUGAAAUUCGUAGAUAUUAGGAAGAACACCGGUGGCGAAGGCGGCUCACUGGCUCGAUACUGACACUGAGGUGCGAAAGCGUGUGGAGCAAACAGGAUUAGAUACCCAAGUAGUCCCUGAGCGGGCUGGCAAGGCGCAU